UACGUAGGGACCGAGCGUUGUCCGGAAUCAUUGGGCGUAAAGAGCGUGUAGGCGGCUAUUUAAGUCCUGCGUGAAAUCCUGCGGCUCAACCGCAGACGGUCGUGGGAAACUGGAUGGCUAGAGUGCGGGAGAGGAGAGUGGGAUUCCCGGUGUAGCGGUGAAAUGCGCAGAUAUCGGGAAGAACACCCGUGGCGAAGGCGGCUCUCUGGAACGCAACUGACGCUGAGACGCGAAAGCGUGGGGAGCAAACAGG
Molecule: ribosomal RNA, 253 nt
Filed under: uncultured bacterium
Lineage: Bacteria
Description: partial 16S ribosomal RNA
Rfam family: Bacterial small subunit ribosomal RNA
Source: RNAcentral